UCUCUCUCUCCCUCUCUCUGUCUCACUAUGUAAAUUUCUUAGCUUAUCAUCGCUGGUUUCGCCUAUUUUCUGAUUUCAGAUACGUAAACUUUUUCGGUUUUCAAAAUCAAACAGACUCGCAGAGGUACUCUCUCUCCCAUUUUAAAAUGUUUCAUUUCUGAAAUCUCUAGGGUUUUGGUUAGUUUAGCUCCCUUUUGCUUCUUGUUUCCUUUAGAUAACAAUUAAAUUUUUUUGAAAUUUAUAAUUUUUACUUGUAGAUCUGUUUCGUUUGGAGAUCUUUUCAUGAUAUUAGCUCCGUAUUUUCUUAGUGCAUUAGGUCUUCGUGCGCGUUCUCUCUCUUGGCUCUUGUUUGGGUUUGUUGCUUUUUAUUGUUUUCCCUUUCAUUUCUUAUGCUGUAUUUCUGGUGGCAACUUUUUUACAAUGGUAACUUUUCUGUUGAUACGCUGGAGAUGUCCUAUACUUUGUUGUGGCAGUUGAGAUUCGAUUGUUUUCUUUCUAUGUGUCACUAAGCAUAGAUUGAUGUUUGCAGAUUUAGUUAAGAGCGUCAGAUUUUGAUGGAAUUAAUCUCAGGGACAAACAGUGGUCUACCCAUGAAAUAAAAUUAAUGGUGGUACAUAACUGUAUUCAAAGAAACACUUAAUCAAAGAAAUAAAAUAUAGCAUUCCUUUUUCUUGGACAAAUGGAUUAAUGUUGGUGGAGUUCAAUCGACAGCAACCCUUAUGCACAUUUAAUUAUGUUUUUAAAAUAUUUUCAUCACUCUUCUUUUUGAAUUAUUCUGGUUGCUUUUACUACCAUUUUGAGCUUUAUUGUGUUUCUGGCAAUCUUUUAACUUUGAUGAUUCACAUAACUGCAGUUGAGGACCAGGAUCUAUAUCGCUGAAGCUGACCCCAAUUAGGUUGUUUAUCUUGCAAUGGAUGCUGCAACAAUGAAGUCACAACACCGACCGUUUUCAAUUAAAUUAUGGCCACCUAGCCAAAACACAAGGCAAAUGCUUGUGACUCGUAUUACAGGAAAUCUCACUACUAAGUCAAUUUUCACCGAGAAGUAUGGCACUCUGAAUAAAGAGGAGGCUGAGGAGAAUGCAAAGAGAAUUGAAGAUGUUGCUUUUGUCACUGCAAACCAACAUUAUGAAAUGGAGCCAGAUGGUGAUGGAGGGUCUGCUGUGCAGCUAUAUGCAAAGGAGUGUAGUAAGCUAAUUUUGGAAGUUCUCAAAAGAGGUCCUGCGCAAAAGGAGGACAGAGAAGUCCUGGUAUCUGAAGAAGCUGCUGCAUACCAUAAUAAAGUUUUUGAUAUAUCUAAAGGCCCAAGAGCCUUUAUUGAUGCAACAGAGGCUGUGGAUAUACUUAGGCCAUUAAAGGAGCCAGGGAAUUCAUAUACUAAGAUAUGCUUCAGUAAUAGAAGCUUUGGUCUAGAAGCUGCCCGUGUUGCUCAGCCCAUUUUAGUUUCCAUCAAGGAUCAAUUGAAGGAAGUUGAUUUGUCGGAUUUUAUUGCUGGAAGACCAGAAGCAGAAGCUCUUGAUGUUAUGAAUAUAUUUUCUUCUGCUCUGGAAGGUAGCAUCCUGAAGUCCUUAGACCUCUCAAACAAUGCCUUGGGGGAGAAGGGUGUGAGGGCCUUUGGGGCACUACUUCAAUCACAAAGUUGCUUGGAGGAGCUUUAUCUAAUGAAUGAUGGCAUUUCAGAGGAAGCUGCACGAGCAGUUUGUGAAUUGAUUCCUUCCACAGAGAAGCUUAGGAUCCUUCAUUUCCAUAAUAAUAUGACAGGAGAUCCAGGGGCUCUUGCCAUUUCUGAGGUUCUGAAACGUUCUCCCUUACUGGAAGAUUUUCGAUGCUCUUCCACAAGAAUAGGCACAGCAGGAGGAAUUGCCUUGUCAGAAGCGCUCAAGACUUGCAUUCAUUUGAAGAAGCUAGACCUGCGAGACAAUAUGUUUGGUGCAGAAGCUGGAGUUGCUCUGGGUAAAGCUCUUUACAAGCAUGCUGGUCUGACUGAGGUUUAUUUAAGUUAUCUGAAUUUGGAAGAUGAGGGUGCUGUUGCCAUAGCAAAUUCUCUCAAGGAAACAGCUCCUGCGCUUGAAGUAUUGGAAAUGGCUGGAAAUGACGUAACAGUUGAAGCUGCUCCUACUGUGUCUGCUUGCAUAGCAGUGAAGCAGAAUCUGAGAAAGUUGAACUUGGCUGAAAAUGAGCUGAAGGAUGAAGGUGCUAUCCAAAUUAGCAAGGCCUUGGAAGAAGGCCACCUUCAGUUGAAUGAAGUUGAUAUGAGCAACAACUCCAUAGGAAGGGCUCGGAGUUGGGUCUUGUCACAAGUUGUGGUAUAGAAGCCCGAGUUUAAAUUGCUGAAUAUAAAUGGGAAUUUCAUCUCUGAUGAAGGCAUUGAUGAGGUGAAGGAAAUUUUUAAGAAAUUCCCGGGCAUGCUUGGGCCCUUGGAUGAGAAUAGUCCUGAAGGAUGUGAUGAUGAAGAAGAAUAUGGAGAGGAUCAGGAUGAUGGUGAUCAGCAUGACUUGGAAUCCAAACUGAAUAAACUUGAAGUUAAUGAAGAGGAUUAAAGGUUUUCUUAUUCUGGACAAGUUUCAUGGGGUUCUAUUCUAGUAGUAAUCCCGGGUAGAUAAUUAUGCAGGACAUGUUCACAGAAUUUUGGACCGACUGUUCUGUGCAAUCUUGGAAUGCUGAGCAGAGCAGUGGCUGUGAGCUGCAAUUGAAAUUAGUAGGAUCUUUCCAUCAUCUUUUUUUCAUUAGCCAUUUAUCUUGUUUUGGUUAGUGCGGCAACAAGAUUCUGUAGUAGGUUUUAAUAAUGCUAGUACUUCAUUUUCUUAAAAAAAAUUUAUAUUUUCAUAUAAUUUACUGUUUCUUGAUUUUUACAUUUUAAAUUCAUGGUAUGUUAGAGGCUUGACAGUAGAGACAAUGCGGGAUUUUGAAACAUUUCUACUGAGCAUCAGUCAUCACUUGUAGUAUGUUGAUUCUUUGUUCUUACGGAUUAAGGAUGAAUGAGAAUCUGAGACUCUGAAAGAUGUAAUUAGAGUUAGCUAUGAUCAUACUUCCGACUUUCUAGAAUGGCGGUCACUGUUUCGAGUACUUCCAUCUCAUUUUCUGCGU
RNAcentral lists this unclassified non-coding RNA (3086 nucleotides) under Hevea brasiliensis (rubber tree). Lineage: Eukaryota; Viridiplantae; Streptophyta; Magnoliopsida; Malpighiales; Euphorbiaceae. The record is from RNAcentral.